This 868-nucleotide ribosomal RNA is filed under the name Psychrobacter sp. RNAcentral's name for it is "bacterial SSU rRNA". It matches the Rfam family "Bacterial small subunit ribosomal RNA", at positions 24 to 885 of the family's 1533-position model. The record is from RNAcentral. Lineage: Bacteria; Pseudomonadati; Pseudomonadota; Gammaproteobacteria; Moraxellales; Moraxellaceae.
UCAGAUNGAACGCUGGCGGCAGGCUUAACACAUGCAAGUCGAGCGGUAACAGGAGAAGCUUGCUUCUUGCUGACGAGCGGCGGACGGGUGAGUAAUACUUAGGAAUCUACCUAGUAGUGGGGGAUAGCUCGGGGAAACUCGAAUUAAUACCGCAUACGACCUACGGGAGAAAGGGGGCAGUUUACUGCUCUCGCUAUUAGAUGAGCCUAAGUCGGAUUAGCUAGUUGGUGGGGUAAAGGCCUACCAAGGCGACGAUCUGUAGCUGGUCUGAGAGGAUGAUCAGCCACACCGGGACUGAGACACGGCCCGGACUCCUACGGGAGGCAGCAGUGGGGAAUAUUGGACAAUGGGGGCAACCCUGAUCCAGCCAUGCCGCGUGUGUGAAGAAGGCCUUUUGGUUGUAAAGCACUUUAAGCAGUGAAGAAGACUCCAUGGUUAAUACCCAUGGACGAUGACAUUAGCUGCAGAAUAAGCACCGGCUAACUCUGUGCCAGCAGCCGCGGUAAUACAGAGGGUGCAAGCGUUAAUCGGAAUUACUGGGCGUAAAGCGAGCGUAGGUGGCUUAAUAAGUCAGAUGUGAAAGCCCCGGGCUUAACCUGGGAACGGCAUCUGAUACUGUUAGGCUAGAGUAGGUGAGAGGNAGGUAGAAUUUCAGGUGUAGCGGUGAAAUGCGUAGAGAUCUGAAGGAAUACCGAUGGCGAAGGCAGCCUNCUGGCAUCAUACUGACACUGAGGUUCGAAAGCGUGGGUAGCAAACAGGAUUAGAUACCCUGGUAGUCCACGCCGUAAACGAUGUCUACUAGUCGUUGGGGAACUUGAUUCCUUAGUGACGCAGCUAACGCAAUAAGUAGACCGCCUGGGGAGUACGG